AGAGUUUGAUCAUGGCUCAGAUUGAACGCUGGCGGCAGGCCUAACACAUGCAAGUCGAGCGGAUGAAGAGAGCUUGCUCUUUGAUUCAGCGGCGGACGGGUGAGUAAUGCCUAGGAAUCUGCCUGAUAGUGGGGGACAACGUUUCGAAAGGAACGCUAAUACCGCAUACGUCCUACGGGAGAAAGCAGGGGACCUUCGGGCCUUGCGCUAUCAGAUGAGCCUAGGUCGGAUUAGCUAGUUGGUGAGGUAAUGGCUCACCAAGGCGACGAUCCGUAACUGGUCUGAGAGGAUGAUCAGUCACACUGGAACUGAGACACGGUCCAGACUCCUACGGGAGGCAGCAGUGGGGAAUAUUGGACAAUGGGCGAAAGCCUGAUCCAGCCAUGCCGCGUGUGUGAAGAAGGUCUUCGGAUUGUAAAGCACUUUAAGUUGGGAGGAAGGGCAUUAACCUAAUACGUUAGUGUUUUGACGUUACCGACAGAAUAAGCACCGGCUAACUUCGUGCCAGCAGCCGCGGUAAUACGAAGGGUGCAAGCGUUAAUCGGAAUUACUGGGCGUAAAGCGCGCGUAGGUGGUUUGUUAAGUUGAAUGUGAAAGCCCCGGGCUCAACCUGGGAACUGCAUCCAAAACUGGCAAGCUAGAGUAUGGCAGAGGGUGGUGGAAUUUCCUGUGUAGCGGUGAAAUGCGUAGAUAUAGGAAGGAACACCAGUGGCGAAGGCGACCACCUGGGCUAAUACUGACACUGAGGUGCGAAAGCGUGGGGAGCAAACAGGAUUAGAUACCCUGGUAGUCGACAUCGUUUACGG
Molecule: ribosomal RNA, 806 nt
Filed under: Leucobacter sp. 4J7B1
Lineage: Bacteria; Bacillati; Actinomycetota; Actinomycetes; Micrococcales; Microbacteriaceae
Description: bacterial SSU rRNA
Rfam family: Bacterial small subunit ribosomal RNA
Source: RNAcentral